GCUGGCGGCAGCCCUUACACAUGCAAGUCGAGCGAGAAAGUUUCUUCGGAAGCGAGUAAAGCGGCGGACGGGUGAGUAACGCGUAGGAAUCUACCAUUCAGUGGGGGAUAGCUCGGGGAAACCCGAAUUAAUACCGCAUAUACCCUAAGGGGGAAAGAGGGCCUAUCCUUGGAAGCUCUUGCUGUUUGAUGAGCCUGCGUGAGAUUAGUUUGUUGGUGAGGUAAUGGCUCACCAAGACUACGAUCUCUAGCUGGUCUGAGAGGACGAUCAGCCACACUGGGACUGAGACACGGCCCAGACUCCUACGGGAGGCAGCAGUGGGGAAUAUUGGACAAUGGGGGCAACCCUGAUCCAGGCAUGCCGCGUGUGUGAAGAAGGCCUUCGGGUUGUAAAGCACUUUAGGUAAGGAAGAAAAGUUAUUGGUUAACACCCAAUGACCGUGACAUUACUUACAGAAUAAGGACCGGCUAACUCCGUGCCAGCAGCCGCGGUAAUACGGAGGGUCCAAGCGUUAAUCGGAAUUACUGGGCGUAAAGCGCGCGUAGGCGGUUUGACAAGUUGGGUGUGAAAUCCCCGGGCUUAACCUGGGAACUGCAUUCAAAACUUUUAAACUGGAGUACGGGAGAGGAGAGUAGAAUUCAUGGUGUAGCGGUGAAAUGCGUAGAUAUCAUGAGGAAUACCAAUGGCGAAGGCAACUCUCUGGACCGUAACUGACGCUGAGGUGCGAAAGCGUGGGUAGCAAACAGGAUUAGAUACCCUGGUAGUCCACGCCGUAAACGAUGACAACUAGCCGUUGGACUUUCGGGUUCAGUGGCACAGCUAACGCAUUAAGUUGUCCGCCUGGGGAG
Molecule: ribosomal RNA, 848 nt
Filed under: uncultured Gammaproteobacteria bacterium
Lineage: Bacteria; Pseudomonadati; Pseudomonadota; Gammaproteobacteria
Description: bacterial SSU rRNA
Rfam family: Bacterial small subunit ribosomal RNA
Source: RNAcentral